CACAUGCAGUCGAACGAUGAAGCCCUUCGGGGUGGAUUAGUGGCGAACGGGUGAGUAACACGUGGGUAAUCUGCCCUGUACUUUGGGAUAAGCCCUGGAAACGGGGUCUAAUACCGGAUAUGACUGCGCAUCGCAUGGUGUGUGGUGGAAAGCUCCGGCGGUAUGGGAUGAACCCGCGGCCUAUCAGCUUGUUGGUGGGGUAAAAGCCUACCAAGGCGACGACGGGUAGCCGGCCUGAGAGGGCGACCGGCCACACUGGGACUGAGACACGGCCCAGACUCCUACGGGAGGCAGCAGUGGGGAAUAUUGCACAAUGGGCGCAAGCCUGAUGCAGCGACGCCGCGUGGGGGAUGACGGCCUUCGGGUUGUAAACCUCUUUCGACAGGGACGAAGGGCAACUGACGGUACCUGUAGAAGAAGCACCGGCUAACUAC
Molecule: ribosomal RNA, 434 nt
Filed under: Amycolatopsis sp.
Lineage: Bacteria; Bacillati; Actinomycetota; Actinomycetes; Pseudonocardiales; Pseudonocardiaceae
Description: bacterial SSU rRNA
Rfam family: Bacterial small subunit ribosomal RNA
Source: RNAcentral